RNAcentral lists this ribosomal RNA (622 nucleotides) under Akkermansia muciniphila. Its description in RNAcentral is "bacterial SSU rRNA". It matches the Rfam family "Bacterial small subunit ribosomal RNA", at positions 37 to 680 of the family's 1533-position model. Lineage: Bacteria; Pseudomonadati; Verrucomicrobiota; Verrucomicrobiia; Verrucomicrobiales; Akkermansiaceae. The record is from RNAcentral.
UGGCGGCGUGGAUAAGACAUGCAAGUCGAACGAGAGAAUUGCUAGCUUGCUAAUAAUUCUCUAGUGGCGCACGGGUGAGUAACACGUGAGUAACCUGCCCCCGAGAGCGGGAUAGCCCUGGGAAACUGGGAUUAAUACCGCAUAGUAUCGAAAGAUUAAAGCAGCAAUGCGCUUGGGGAUGGGCUCGCGGCCUAUUAGUUAGUUGGUGAGGUAACGGCUCACCAAGGCGAUGACGGGUAGCCGGUCUGAGAGGAUGUCCGGCCACACUGGAACUGAGACACGGUCCAGACACCUACGGGUGGCAGCAGUCGAGAAUCAUUCGCAAUGGGGGAAACCCUGAUGGUGCGACGCCGCGUGGGGGAAUGAAGGUCUUCGGAUUGUAAACCCCUGUCAUGUGGGAGCAAAUUAAAAAGAUAGUACCACAAGAGGAAGAGACGGCUAACUCUGUGCCAGCAGCCGCGGUAAUACAGAGGUCUCAAGCGUUGUUCGGAAUCACUGGGCGUAAAGCGUGCGUAGGCUGUUUCGUAAGUCGUGUGUGAAAGGCGCGGGCUCAACCCGCGGACGGCACAUGAUACUGCGAGACUAGAGUAAUGGAGGGGGAACCGGAAUUCACGGUGUAGCA